Long non-coding RNA from Cyclopterus lumpus (lumpfish), 778 nucleotides. RefSeq lists it as uncharacterized. NCBI's taxonomy places the organism in Eukaryota, Metazoa, Chordata, Actinopteri, Perciformes, Cyclopteridae. The transcript is spliced from 3 exons. The record is from RefSeq and is a predicted model, not a curated record.
UCGUCGCAAAGAUAAUAACAGAAGGAUUUGCACAAACCGGUUCUUUCAUUUUUGGUUUCAAACUGAAAACGAAAAAAAACCCAUGGUAUUUCUGUAUUUCCGUUUUUUUCGACUAAACUAUAAAACAAACGAUCAGUACGUACACGGACCACCUGACGUUAUCUAACUGUCCUUAUAGCGACAUAUGACAACGGAUUAGAGCGGUUGUAGGUGAAGUUAAAUCAAGUCAGUAGAACUUCAAAUGAGAGAAAAAGACUAGUUCUAACGUUGCCUUCCUCCUUAUAUCUCUCUCCCAUCAGCUCUCCCAUCAAUUGACCCCCCCCUAUCAGCCUGUCCUCCUCCGGGUCUCUCUCCUCCCACUCGGUCAGACGUUAACAGCCACACAGCCACCGAUCACUACUCGUCAGCCAUGUUGUUGGUGUGACACACUGAGCUGUCAGCAACAGGUUCUACUCUGAGCAACAAGGCUGCUAAACGUUAACAUUUCUACGAUAAUACUGCUCUCCUUGGACAAUAAACCUUCACGGUGUUCCGGGAAACCGUCCGGAAGUAGUGGAGGAUAACUUCGGGCCCCGCAGAAGCUCGGAAGUUGAUGUUUUUCGGCCGUUGUGAGAGAGAUGGCUGCGAGCCGUAGCUGAGGACACCGCCGGGAGUUCCCCCUCUCUGCCUCUGCAAAUAUGAAUGGUGGCCCAAGUGUAUGGGCGAUCUCCCAGAGGAGAGGGUCAAACAUGAUCAGAAGUUUUGACACCCUCUCCCCAUCAAUGGGCUAUGUAUCAGG